This 67-nucleotide transfer RNA is filed under the name Listeria monocytogenes. RNAcentral describes it as "tRNA-Pro". It matches the Rfam family "tRNA". From Rfam's summary of the family: Transfer RNA (tRNA) molecules are approximately 80 nucleotides in length. Their secondary structure includes four short double-helical elements and three loops (D, anti-codon, and T loops). Further hydrogen bonds mediate the characteristic L-shaped molecular structure. tRNAs have two regions of fundamental functional importance: the anti-codon, which is responsible for specific mRNA codon recognition, and the 3' end, to which the tRNAs corresponding amino acid is attached (by aminoacyl-tRNA synthetases). tRNAs cope with the degeneracy of the genetic code in two manners: having more than one tRNA (with a specific anti-codon) for a particular amino acid; and 'wobble' base-pairing, i.e. permitting non-standard base-pairing at the 3rd anti-codon position. Lineage: Bacteria; Bacillati; Bacillota; Bacilli; Caryophanales; Listeriaceae. The record is from RNAcentral.
GAAGUAGCUCAGCUUGGUAGAGCACUUGGUUUGGGACCAAGGGGUCGCAGGUUCGAAUCCUGUCUUC